GUCUCCGUGGCGUAGUGGUUUGAGCGUUCGACUAGGGCUCUGGAGAUCACGGGUUCGAUUCCCAGUUGGAGCA
Phrynosoma platyrhinos (Desert horned lizard) is the source of this 73-nucleotide non-coding RNA. NCBI's taxonomy places the organism in Eukaryota, Metazoa, Chordata, Lepidosauria, Squamata, Phrynosomatidae. The record is from the annotation of a GenBank genome assembly.